UAGUAAAAAAAUUAUCUAUUUUUACUAUUAAAAACUGACAUUGCUAAUAGAAUAACUAGAUAGUUACAUGUGGUGUGCCAUUUGCACCUCAUUCUGAUGUACAAUGAUCAAUUUUUAACAGUAGAAAUAAAUAAAAUAUUUUAUUU
Non-coding RNA from Gossypium arboreum, 146 nucleotides. The record is from Rfam. NCBI's taxonomy places the organism in Eukaryota, Viridiplantae, Streptophyta, Magnoliopsida, Malvales, Malvaceae.